RNAcentral lists this ribosomal RNA (302 nucleotides) under Pulex irritans. Its description in RNAcentral is "eukaryotic LSU rRNA". It matches the Rfam family "Eukaryotic large subunit ribosomal RNA", at positions 666 to 934 of the family's 3401-position model. Lineage: Eukaryota; Metazoa; Arthropoda; Insecta; Siphonaptera; Pulicidae. The record is from RNAcentral.
CCAAGGAGUCUAGCAUGUGCGCGAGUCAUUGGGAAUCACAAAACCUAAAGGCGCAAUGAAAGUAAAGGUUCGCUUAAGCGAACUGAGGGAUGAUGGACCGCAUCUACGGAUGCGUGCUCGCAAUCCCGGGGCGUCUCGCUCUCAUUGCGAGAAGAGGCGCACCCAGAGCGUACACGCUGGGACCCGAAAGAUGGUGAACUAUGCCUGGUCAGGUCGAAGUCAGGGGAAACCCUGAUGGAGGACCGUAGCGAUUCUGACGUGCAAAUCGAUCGUCGGAACUGGGUAUAGGGGCGAAAGACUAA